GGGAAUCUGACAGGCGCCACCCCUUUUGUCGGUUUGUCCCAGAAAGGCUUUUUGUUCGCCCAAAUAAUUCCACCUCACCCACUUGCAUUUUUUUCUAGCGUGAUGCAGGGUCUCACUAUAAAGCCCUGGCUGGCCAUGAAGAUGAAGUCGGCUUCAAACUCACAGAGAUCCACUUGCCUGUGUCCUAAAGUGUGGGUAAACUGCAUGUCUGGCAGCAAACUGGCUGGUGAGCUGUGGCCUACUUGUCUAUGAAUCAUUCCUGAUUGAGCAGGCCCAAAAGUUGCAGGGGCAACCGACAGCUGAUUAGCAGCCUCGAGCCUGCAUCCAGGGUGCUGAUGAAAGGCUGUUGGAGGUUGUAAGCUAUAGGAGCGCAGAGAUGGGGUUGUACUCCCACAGAUGCUUUUCAGGACCACACGGAAUAGAUCCGCAAUGUAUUUAUGAUGAUAACGAGUCACAGAGUUCAAUGGCACUCCGUCUGAAUAAGUAACAUUCUUAUGAAAUUUCAAGCCCAGGGUCGGCUCAACGACUGCCUAGAAUAUCAAGACACUGGUGAAGGCCAGGAAGCAAUGUUCAAUCUAACUUAGCUAACUGUCAAAUCAUUCCUUGGGGGCACCUAUAAUAAAACAAUGCCGAAGGUAAGCAUGCAGAACCCUUUACCACUAUCACAAGGACCAAUCUGGACCACAGCCAUGUUAUGGGACACCAAAGACUCCAGGUGACCAGUUUCCGUGAAACUUUUUGCCUCAGGACUGCGGCCAAGCUUUUGGACUUGUCAUGCAGACUUCCCUGGAGUGGGUGUGGCAUUCUGAACCAUACUUUCUCGGUUUUUUGAAUGCUGGAAUCAUGGGUUGUGCCACUAUACCCAUUUAAUAAGGAUUUCUGAAGCCUGUGGCUGUCCGUUGGAAAGGGCGCUGUGACCUGCAGAACCAACCACUGCACUUCUGCACUUGAGUCAUCUGCCCAUGUUAGUUCUGUGAAAACAAGCCACGCAACUAUCCGGGACCAUGUGUCUCAUCUUAAAUUUCUCCAAUUUACCUUAAUUAAGUUUCCUCGGUAGAUUUUCUUAUGAAGAAGAUAAUGUUCAGGCUGUCUAAAGUCUAGUCUUCAUAUCAAUUAAAUAUUAAAUGUCAUCUCUCUCAUUCUAAGUGAAUAACUAGUUAUUCAGCUUCCUCAAGCAACUUCUUCAACAUUUUGGUGAAAUCAGUUUGCCAAGACCUGGUCAGUCCUUGUGAGCUGAGGACAUUUGGGUUCCUCACGUCGAGAAACUAGACAGACCUAGGAGAUAAAAUAUAUCAGCACACCCAGAUCUGUAAAAAAAAAUCCAUGUCGGAUGCUGACUGCAAAUGUAACCCAUGGUGUGAAGUUUCAAUGACCACAACAAAGCGAUCUGCUAAGAGGCCUUUUUCUAAAAACUGCUUUUCUUUGACCUGAUGUACAACCUGGCUUACUAAGGUAUCAGUCGGUGGGGUUGAGGGAUAGAUAGUAAGAGGCAUUUUAGUAUUGUCCAGGUACACAUUAUUGUAUGUUGUUUUUUGUUGUUAUGAUAGAUUGCCAGAU
Molecule: long non-coding RNA, 1557 nt
Organism: Mus musculus (house mouse)
Lineage: Eukaryota; Metazoa; Chordata; Mammalia; Rodentia; Muridae
Product: predicted gene, 31986
Exons: 5
Source: RefSeq, a predicted model, not a curated record